Molecule: ribosomal RNA, 1390 nt
Filed under: Euthrix laeta
Lineage: Eukaryota; Metazoa; Arthropoda; Insecta; Lepidoptera; Lasiocampidae
Description: 16S ribosomal RNA
Source: RNAcentral
AAAAUAAAAAAUUAAUAAUGGGGGUUAUUAAUAAAAAAAAAUUUAUUUAAAUUAAGUUAAAGUAUAAUUUAUUGAAAAAAUUAAUUAAAUUUAUAGUAUAAUAGUAUUGUAAAAGAAUUUUGAAAAUAUUUGAAAAUAAAUUUAUUUAAAAGUAAUUUUAAUUUGAUGUAUCUUGUGUAUCAGAGUUUUUUAAUAAGAUAAUUAAUUUUAAUUUUUUUCGAAUUUAAAAGAGAUAAUUAAUUAUAAGAGUUAUUGUAGUAUAAUUAUUUUAAAUAGUUAAUUUGAAAUGAAAUGUUAGUCGUUUUUAAAUAUAUCUAAUUUUUUUAGAAAAAAAUUUAAUUUAAAAUUAAAUAUAGAAAUAAAUUAAUUGAAGUGAUUUAUAAUUUAUUUUUAUAUUUAAUUUAAUAUUUUAAGGGAUAAGCUUUAAAUUAAAUUUUUAUAAUUUAUUAAGAAAAAUAAAAUUUUUAUUAUUUAUAUUGUAAAUAAAUUUUAUUUUAUUAUAAAUAAUUUUAUAUUAAUUAAAAAUUUAAUUAAUAAAUUUAAUUUUUUAUAAAAAAAAAUAUUAUUUAAUUAUUUUAUUUUAGUUAUAAUGAAAAAAUUAGUAUAAAUUUAUAUUUAAAAUUGUUUAUUAAUUUGAUAAUUAAUUUUAAGGAAUUCGGCAAAAAUUUAUAUUCACUUGUUUAUCAAAAACAUGUCUUUUUGGUUUAAUUUAAAGUCUAAUCUGCCCACUGAUAAUAUUGAAGGGCUGCAGUAUUUUGACUGUACAAAGGUAGCAUAAUCAUUAGUCUCUUAAUUGGUGACUUGUAUGAAAGAUUGGAUGAAAUAUAAACUGUCUUGAGAUUAUAUUUUUAGAAUUUAAUUUUUUAAUUAAAAAGUUAAAAUAUUUUAAAAAGACGAGAAGACCCUAUAGAGUUUAAUAAUUUAAUUUAAUUGAAAGUAUUUAUAAAUAAUAUAUUAUUUUAAAAUUAUUUAAGUUAUUUAAUUGGGGUGAUUUAAAAAAUUUAAUUAACUUUUUUUUUUGUUUCACAUAAAUAAGUGGUUUAUUGAUCCAUUUUUAAUGAUUAUAAGAAAAAAUUACCUUAGGGAUAACAGCGUAAUUUUUUUUUUUAGUUCAUAUAAAAAGAAGAGUUUGCGACCUCGAUGUUGGAUUAAGAUAAAAUUUAAAUGUAAAAGUUUGAAGUUUUGAUCUGUUUCGAUCAUUAAAAUCUUACAUGAUCUGAGUUCAAACCCGGUGUGAGCCAGGUUGGUUUCUAUCUUUUAAUAAAUAAAAUAUUUUAGUACGAAAGGAUCAAAUAUUUAAAUUAAAUUUAAUUAAAUGAAUUUUAUUAAAUAGUAUGUGUAAAAUUAAUAAUUAUUAGAAUUUUAUUAAUUUAUUACUAUUUUGGCAGAA